Molecule: ribosomal RNA, 552 nt
Filed under: Enterococcus faecium
Lineage: Bacteria; Bacillati; Bacillota; Bacilli; Lactobacillales; Enterococcaceae
Description: bacterial SSU rRNA
Rfam family: Bacterial small subunit ribosomal RNA
Source: RNAcentral
UGCAAGUCGUACGCUUCUUUUUCCACCGGAGCUUGCUCCACCGGAAAAAGAAGAGUGGCGAACGGGUGAGUAACACGUGGGUAACCUGCCCAUCAGAAGGGGAUAACACUUGGAAACAGGUGCUAAUACCGUAUAACAAUCGAAACCGCAUGGUUUUGAUUUGAAAGGCGCUUUCGGGUGUCGCUGAUGGAUGGACCCGCGGUGCAUUAGCUAGUUGGUGAGGUAACGGCUCACCAAGGCCACGAUGCAUAGCCGACCUGAGAGGGUGAUCGGCCACAUUGGGACUGAGACACGGCCCAAACUCCUACGGGAGGCAGCAGUAGGGAAUCUUCGGCAAUGGACGAAAGUCUGACCGAGCAACGCCGCGUGAGUGAAGAAGGUUUUCGGAUCGUAAAACUCUGUUGUUAGAGAAGAACAAGGAUGAGAGUAACUGUUCAUCCCUUGACGGUAUCUAACCAGAAAGCCACGGCUAACUACGUGCCAGCAGCCGCGGUAAUACGUAGGUGGCAAGCGUUGUCCGGAUUUAUUGGGCGUAAAGCGAGCGCAGCGGUU